GACGAACGCUGGCGGCGUGCCUAACACAUGCAAGUCGAACGGUCCGGCACUCAACCGACCCUCAGUCUAGCUGUAGGUGAGGUUAAGUGCCGGAUAGUGGCGGACGGGUGAGUAACGCGUGGGCAACCAACCCUGUACAGUGGGAUAACACCGGGAAACCGGUGCUAAUACCGCAUGACACCUAGAUGGUGCAUACUGUUUAGGUUAAAGGGCAAAACCGGUACGGGACGGGCCCGCGUCCCAUUAGCUGGUUGGUGAGGUAACGGCUCACCAAGGCGACGAUGGGUAGCCGACCUGAGAGGGUGACCGGCCACACUGGGACUGAGACACGGCCCAGACUCCUACGGGAGGCAGCAGUGGGGAAUAUUGCGCAAUGGACGGAAGUCUGACGCAGCGACGCCGCGUGAGCGACGAAGGCCUUCGGGUCGUAAAGCUCUGUUCUUGGGGUACGAAGGAAAUAGACGGUACCCGAACGGAGAAAGACCCCGGCCGUAACUACGUGCCAGCAGCCGCGGUAAAGUCACGUCG
Molecule: ribosomal RNA, 528 nt
Filed under: uncultured bacterium
Lineage: Bacteria
Description: bacterial SSU rRNA
Rfam family: Bacterial small subunit ribosomal RNA
Source: RNAcentral